RNAcentral lists this ribosomal RNA (239 nucleotides) under uncultured bacterium. Its description in RNAcentral is "partial 16S ribosomal RNA". It matches the Rfam family "Bacterial small subunit ribosomal RNA", at positions 15 to 236 of the family's 1533-position model. The record is from RNAcentral.
GAUCAUGGCUCAGGAUGAACGCUGGCGGCGUGCUUAACACAUGCAAGUCGAACGAAGCACUUGAGAUUGAUUCUUCGGAAGAUUUCUCUUGUGACUUAGUGGCGGACGGGUGAGUAACGCGUGGGUAACCUGCCUCACACAGGGGGAUAACAGUUGGAAACGACCGCUAAUACCGCAUAAGACCACAGCACCGCAUGGUGCGGGGGUAAAAACUCCGGUGGUAUGAGAUGGACCCGCGU